CCUUUUUCAGGUAUUGAUGAAGAGAGGAAGAGCAACUAUUUAGAGAAGGAGGCAUGCACCAUCAAAAAAAGCAAAACAUGAUUGUGCAGACACUGUGAUUGGGAACUGGCACUUGAGAGGGAUAAGUGGUGGAGAAAAGAGAAAGGUUAGCAUUGCCUUGGAGAUCUUGAUGAGGCCUAGAUUGCUCUUCCUUGAUGAACCUACAAGUGGACUUGACAGGUUCACAUACCCUUGGUUUUACUUCUUGUUGGGAUCCAAUUGUGCUUUUUUUCACGCCAAUUCUCCACCACUGGGCCAAUUCUCCACCUGGUACUAAGGAGACUAUUGGACUUUGGCAAGAAACUUCCUUCUCCUGAUGCUCUUCUCAUCAAUGGGCAAAGAGAUUCUGCUGUCUUUACCGAUCAAGCAGGGAAGACUUACAAAUCAGAGUGUCCAAUGUUGGGUUAACAACAUCAAUCAACUUCAGGAUUCAAGGCCACUCAUUGAAACUGAUUGAAGUUGAAGGUGCUCACAUAUUACAGGACAUAUAUGAGUCUCUUGAUAUUCAUGUGGGUCAAUCAGUGGUACAGUUGAACAAUACACUUUGAGUUUAUGUUUUAAAUUAUAAUUGAUGUAUCAACACACUUUGAUGUAUGGUUGUUACUUAUUAUUAUAGUUGAUGUAUCAAUACACUUUGUUUAUGUUUUGAAUUA
Non-coding RNA from Arachis ipaensis, 692 nucleotides. Lineage: Eukaryota; Viridiplantae; Streptophyta; Magnoliopsida; Fabales; Fabaceae. The record is from RefSeq and is a predicted model, not a curated record.